RNAcentral lists this long non-coding RNA (8554 nucleotides) under Homo sapiens (human). RNAcentral describes it as "non-protein coding lnc-BNIP1-4:5". Lineage: Eukaryota; Metazoa; Chordata; Mammalia; Primates; Hominidae. The record is from RNAcentral.
AGGAGUAUGGACUCUGGAGUCAUAGGGCUGGAAUGCAAAUCUCAGCUCUAUCGUUUACCAGCUGUGCAACUUGGGCAAGUUACUCUCUAUUACUCUGUUUCCACAUCGGUUUACUCUGAUGGAUACCCUGACUGGUCAAUGGGCAGACAGGCCACCACCCCCUCCCCUCUGGACCCUACAUGGCAAAAGGCUUGGCAGACGUGACAAAGUGAAGAGUCUUGAGAUGGGGAGAUGAUCCUGCAUUGUCUGGAUGGGCUGGGUGUGGUCGUGACAGUUUUCAUAAGAGGGCUGCAGGACUACACUUUCUUCCUGAGAGGGUUCCUAACUUCUCUGAAGUCAAGUUGAGCGUCCACAUCUAAAGCCCCAGGAUGAGCCUCCUGGUGGAGGAGAGUGCUCCUGCCUCUCCUGCCUCUCUUUAUGGAUUGUAUGUCAAGGAGACACCCGCAAGGACUCUGGUGGCCUGGACAUACUUCUGGAAGACUGACUCUUCCAGACUGAUGAAACCAAAGGACUGGACAGUGUUGAAUCCUUGGGGGGAAGAAAAACCAACACUUUUUUUUUAAGCUGACAGCACAUUCCAUCCACUCGGCAAUGUAGAACUAAUGAAGAUAUAAGUGUAAGAAAACCUAUAAUUGAAUCCAGCACGUAGCAAGCAUAGUUGAGCGGCGAGUACACCCAAGCUGAAAUCACAUGUGCUCCUGUCUAAUCCUCUCCGGGCGCCCAGCACAGGGAAAUAUUUCUGGAUUGUGUCUCAGGCUGUGAUUUCUAUCCAAGGCAGAAUAGAAACGGCCUUUUCCCUGGGCAGAGGCUUUGGGCUGUCAGGGGACACCUGAGUUGCCUUUGAUAAGGCUGCCGUUUGGAUGGUGAUUUAAAGAGCAAGUCUAGAAAAAAAUAACCUUGAGAAAGAGGAGUGUUUUGGACUAGAGCCCUUCUUGCGCGCUUUCAUUCCGCUUCCCUUGCCAGUGUUUCUCAGUUUCCCCCAUGGUGGCUGGAGGUGCGUCUGUCCCCACAACCCAGAAUUGGGGCAGUCCCUCAGGAGCUGCUUUUCGAUCCCAGCCCUCUGGUGUCCAACAUUCAGAGCAAGCCCGAUCAACCCAGCCCACUAAGUUCCCUGCAUCCGAGGACCCCUUUGAUGCGUGGAUCCGAGUGGGAGGGAGGCCAGAGUGCAACUGUGUUUUCCUUUCAACAUUCCUCAGGAGUGAUUCACUGCCAGGUGUCCCCAAUACCCCCAGCUGCUCCGUCCCCUGCAGUUGUUCCGUAGGGAUGAGGCUUUUUGAUGCCCUGUCCUUGGCCCUGCCUGGCUUCCUGUCUGGGGCAGGAGAGAGCAGAAUGGCCCCCAGAAACUCUGCUCUGGAUGUAGGACUGCUUGCUCUGGAAGCUGUGGUGUGUGCCUCUGGCAGGCUGCUCUGACCAGCAAGCGGCAGCUGGAUGCUUUGUGCACUGAACUAAGGCUGCGGUGGGUUGAAUGUGCAUACCUCUGCGUGGCUCCCACAGUACCCACCACUCCCUGUUGUUUCCUGCUCAGUGUAACGUUCUAUUUCGUUAUCUGGGUUCUCUGCUGGGCAGUGUUUGAGUUUAGACCCUGACCAGAGAGAGGGAGCAGGUGCUGUGCCAUGUGGCCACUGUGGCGGAUUUAUGCAGGGGCACCCACUCCCCGGCUGCCCCUGCCUCCAGGCAGUUGAGCUGAGGGUGUUUGCUCAGCUGCCCUGGCGCCUAGCCUGUGGGGCCAUGGCCUUCUGCUUCUAGGCCAUGGAAGGUGGCAUGGGCCCAGAGAAUUGGGCAGGUGUGCUGCCAGGCCCAGUCCCCGGGGCCUUGGGGGCCUGGAUUGGAAGCUGCAGGGAGGUCCCUGGGAGUCCUCUGAGCAGGCGGCCUGCGUUGGGACACCCUGGCCUUUUAGCUGUUGAGUCCUAGUUGGAAGGGGCAUUCAUUCCAGGGACAUUCUUUCUGUCUGGAGCAGAGACUUGGCCUGAACCUUGAACCAAAAACCGGAACAAACUGCACUCGUUUGCUCAACCUCGAACCAAAUCCAAAUAUUGUUUAUAUCGCUGAGAACCAAACCAGGGUUCUGGGGUUUGGUUUGGUUUGUUUUCCCACCAGAGAACAUUUAGGGAACAAGGCUGAGCUGCAACAGGACUAGGAGGGAACCUGAAGAGGCCCUUUGUGUGGAUUUUGGACUCAGCGAGCUCUCGGUCAGGGGAACACUGCAAGACACAGUUAGGUCUGCAGAGGUUGCACUAGGUGGACUGUAGGGCUGGAGAAGCUAUGGGGCCAACGUCUGUCCUGAGGAGAGGACAGUCACAAGUCCACAUCUCUGUAAACAGUGCUGUGUGGUGUGGGAUGCCCCGUACAUUGCUACCAGGCAGCAGUGAUGACUAGGGGAUGCCAACGGUGGGUACAGAACUGCAUACAUGGAGGGAACUUUAAUGAAAUCAUGCACCGAUUGAUUUUUCUGAAUUUAUUUCCGGUUUACUCUAGGUCACUCAAUAGCCAUCUGCUUAGCACCUGGCGCCAUACUGAGGCAGAUCCCAAAGAAACAGCAAAGGGUUGGCCUCCACUCUCUCCGAGUCCUUGGUACACUUUGGGGGCUGGCGCUACAGUGUCUUGGAGAUACACUGUCAUGUUCAAAUAGUGUAGCUCACAAAUUCAUGUCCCCUUGGAAGCUCAGGAUGUGGCCCUAUCUGGAAAUAGGGUCUUUGUAGAUGUAAUUCAUUAAGGUUCUCAUGACAAAAGCGUCCUGGAUUUUGAGUGGGCAUGAACUCCAAUGACUGGUGUCCUUGUAAUAAGAGGAGAGGACACACAGCCACACAGGGAGAAGGAGGCCACAUGAAGACAGGGGCAGAGGCUGGAGGGAGGCAGCCAGAAGCCAAGGAGGCCAGGGAGGAGUUGCUCCUGGAGUCUUCGGAGGGAGUGCAGACCUGUGACACUGUGAAAGGUGUCCCUUUCCUGUGGGAAAGUAAAUAUCUGUUGUUUGAAGCCACUCACAGUCACACAAACCAAAUAGUGAAGCCCCCGAGAUGCCACACUCACACCUCCUUUCUUUGAAAAAGUGAAUUCUUCUGCAUAAUUAGCCACAUUUUUGUCAUGUGACCUUGCCACCCUGGUCACACAUGGUUGGACCCAGGAUUGGUUGGACAUAUGGCAAUGCCCAUGCUGGAUUGGGAGAUUUCUCAUCAGCUUGUCCUUUGAGAAAAAGAGACACAUGCACACAGAGGGGCAUCUGGUGGAAGUCAAGAUAUGGAGCAGGAGGCAGAAACCUGAAAAUAGGUUGAUGCAGAGAGCGGCAAGAAGCUCUGAUGAAGAGAGAGCGAGCGAGAGUGAGAGUGUUAGGGGCAGUCUGCAGAAUCGGUGGCCAUGUUGCUCACUCAGCAGAAGCACUGUUAGAUCCUCCAAGAAGCCUGGGUCCGGCUACUGUGAAUGCAUUUGCUUCCUAGGCUCCUGCACUUCCUCUGGAUUCUCGUAGUCCAGCCCCAAGUCCAGAGAGAACCCGGGCACUCCUCUGUUCCCGGCAAAUGAAACAGCCCAGCCAACACCAAACACAGGUGACACCACCGAGAAAAAUAGGCACUCACAUUUGGUUGUGUUUCAUCCAAGGCCAGCCCGUAUAUAAACUAUUUCCUGGCUGUGUUACCCGUGCAGUUGCUUAACCUCUGUGAGUGUCAUCUAUCAAAUGGAGUUCAUGCCAUCCUCAGAGGGUUUUGUGAGGAUUAAAUAAGCCAUAGAAAACGAAACACUCACUCCAAUGCCUGGCAUCAAGCAGGGUCCUCAUGGUUUCCUUUGCUUCGAGGGGAUGCAGCAAUUCAAAGUCUGGAUUGAGGUCUGGGUCUAUAGUGUUGAAAACUGACACAUGCUUCCACAUGCUUCCAGUUUAACCAGUCUGCAAGUGAUAUUUUGAAAACUCUUUGGAAGGGUUCAGUUCAAGUUUCCAUAACACAAUUGAACUUGGGUGGAAAUUUAGCAAAGCAGUGUGUUCCUCCUCCCCGCCCUGGACUUUUUUUCUUUCUUGUUUAUGGCUUGAUUUUCACUGAUGUUCCUGCAAGAACUCAUCCAUACAGCAUUAAUUAAGACAUCAGCAGAGGCCCUGAAAGUUGAUUUUUGGAGCCCAUUAGCCUGCCAGAACAUUUCCUAGCUUAUGAAAAAAUUUUUUUUACAAGUCUGAUAACACUUUGUACAUCAUUGGACCUCAACAGUAUCGCGCAACCAAAUCAGCACUGGCCUCACCCUCACUGUUUCCUAACGCUGCGCCAUUCUCUAGUGCUCCAGCUCUGGGCCACGCCCCCGGCCUGGGCACCCAGUCCUUUAAGAGAGACAGCAUAAGAUUUUUAAAAUGUGGAAUCAUGUUCCUCACGGGCACGCGACUUAGGAAAAACAAGGAGAGUUGAGGCAAAACAGAUCAUAUUAUCUAGUGCAGCCUAUCGUGUCUUCCGGAGGUAGAAAUGCUUCUUUAGGAGGUCCCCAGUGCGGUUCCCAGGCCCUGUGCCUCCAGUUCCACCCUCUGAUUUUCAUCCUUGGUCUUCUCCUCUUCCUACCAGGCUGGCUCAGCCGCCAGCCUGCUCUGUGGCUGAGCAGUUCCGUAGCAGGGCUCUGCUGCAUGCAUUUCCCAGUGUGCUUUCCCAGUGAUGGCUCCCAGUGGAGAGGAUAAAGGUGUGGUGGGAAAGGAAAAAAGACCCCCAUGUGAAUGACCAAAAAUAGCAGCUCUAGCUAGGGGAGGGCAAGGAGGCGGGGGGCAAGAAAUGGGGAUGUAUACAGAGGCUGUGAGGGGCCCUGUAAUGUUUUAUUUCUUUUUUGAGAUAUGGUCUCACUCCCGUCGCCCAGGCCAGAGUGCAGUGCACCACCACGCCUGGCUAAUUGUCUGUAUUUUUUUUAGUAGAGAUGGGGUUUCACCAUGUUGCUCUGGCUGGUCUCAAACUCCUGGACUCAAGUGAUCCACUUGCCUUGGUCUCCAAAAGUACUGGGGUUACAGGCGUGAACUACCAUGCCUAGCCUGUUUUAUUUCUUUGUUUUAAAAAAAGGUUGGUGGGAAAAAUGGCAUCAUGAUAAGACAAUAAGUUUGGUUAGAGCUUACAAGAUAUGUGCUAGUAUUCUCCCGACUUGCUUAUAUGUUUGAAAUAUCUUAUAUUUAUAAAAUUUUUGAAUUUUUGUUGUCAUUUUUUAGAGACAGUGUCCUGUUGUUGCCCAAGCUAGAGUGCAGUGGCACGAUCAUGGCUCACUGCAGCCCCAAUCUCCUGGGCUCAAGCAAUCCUCCUGCCUCAGCCUACCAAGUAGCUGAGACCACAGGCAUGUGCCACUACACCCAGCUGGUUUUUUAAUUUUUUGUAGAGACAGGGUCUUGCUAUGUUACCCAGGCUGGCCUUGAACUCUUGGCCUCAAGCUUAUAAUAAAGCUUUAUUUUAAAAAUACUUGGAAAGAGAUGUUGGACUUAAAAAGAAUAAAAUAAAAAAGAAUUUCCUGUGUUGAGAAAGCUUUUAAAAGCAGUCUAUACGGAAUUUGCCCUACGUGAAUGAGAACUGGGGUAUUGAAAUUCUUCUUGAGUAUUUGAAUGACUAUUUGAGCACAUCAUAGAGAUAUAGAUUGAAAUAGCUUCCCCUGUCACAGAAAGCCACAUAUUUAAUCCAUUGACACAAUGUAGACCUUUGAAGUAUCUGACCCUGUAUGAAGGUUUCUUCAAACGAUGAUUCUGCUUUAGGGCCCUCUUUGUGAUGGGAUUUUUCAUUCUUUCCUCCAAAGCCAGUUUAUUUCUCAAGAUUGUUCUCUGCUGAAUAAGAAGAGAAGUAUUUGGGCAAUCACUGCCCGUAGCUAGGACUCUUGUUCCUUGGGAUCUGGGGCCAAAGCGAGGAUUGUUUUCGAGGCUCCAGGAUGACCGUGUGUCGUGAGAGCAGCUGUUGCGUGCUCAGCUCUUGUACGCUGGGCCUGUGUAAGUGUUCCUGGAUCUACAUCCUGGUGUCCUCAAUGCACUCCUGCGAUGUCCAUGAGUGCUGGAGGUCAGGCAGGGCAGCGAGUUCAUUCACACCCAGAAACUGAGGCAAGCUCUAAUUUGCUUCUGAGAUGGCUAAGGACUAGGGGAACACUAUUUAUGGAGGCUUGAACCCCUUCAUUAUGACCUGGUGCUGUUCGGAUUUCUCUUUGUGUGUGCAUCCCUGGAGGUAUAUAGUUACCUUUUCCUUGACUAAGAGCUUUCAGAACAUGGAGAGGCCAUGCACAAGAAGACCUCCUACAACCAGCGGUGACCUCUUUGAUUUCUUGGAGGGUUUGUGUGGUGAUUUUAGCCAGUCCUCCAGGACUUGACCUGGGCAGCAAUGAAGGGCCCAAGGUGUGCUGAGUGUGCUGCAGAGGAGAGUCAGAAGCCAGAGAGGGGCUGUUGUGCCCUCUGCUUGUUACAUCACUUGAAUGAACACCCUUCUCAUGGUGAUGAUAAUAUCCAAUCAAAACAUUGCCUAGUAAAUGAAAGAACUCCCAGGGAACAAAGCAGGACCAAUUUAAGCAACAAAAUAAAGUAGUAUUGCAUUCUAACCUAAAAUAUAAAAUAAAUAACCACAAGUCCAUUUUGAUAUAAACACAUGAUUGAUAUGUUAAUAAAUUGAGGAGAAAAUAACAAAUAUCCUAUGUGGGAAAAUCCCAAGUAAUUUAUGUAGCUAUUUUUGUUGUUGUUGUUGUUUUUAGAGACAAGGUCUCACCCUGUUGCCCAGGCUGGAGUGCAGUGGCACAAUCAUGGCUCACUGCAACCUCUGCCUCCUCAGGAUAAAGGGAUCCUCCUGCCUCAGCCUCCUGAGUAGCUGGGACCACAGACGCAUGCUACCAUGCCCGCCUAAUUUUUGUAUUUUUUGUAGAGACGGGAUUUCACCAUAUUGUCCAGGCUGGUCUUGAAUGCCUAGGCUCAAGCAAUCUGCCUGCCUCAGCCUCCCAAAGUGCUGGGAUUACAGGUGUGAGCCGCUGGGCCAGGCUAUUCUACCUUAAAGGAGGUGGAGAAUAACUCAUCACUCCUCAAGCGUGGGUUGUGCAUAGCACGUUUCUUCCAAAGAGUUCGCCAUGCAAAGUGGGGAAAACUGGGCAGUGGGGAGUGGAGAGACCUGACAAACACUACCUCAGCCAGGCGGUCAAGGCCAGCACCAGCAGUCAUAAACCAUGUGGACAGCAUGACCCUGGAUAUGAUGUGCUGAAAAUAGUGCUUUACUUCUGUGAUCUGCCUUCCACAAACCCAUACCCUCGGUAAAAUUAUGAGAGAAACACCAGACAAAUUCUCAUAGUAGGGCAGCCUGCAAUAUACCUGCCCAGUACUCAUCAGAACUGCCAAGGUUGCUAAAAACAAGGGAAGUCUGAGAAACUCACAGCAAAGAGGAGCUUCAGGAGACAUGACAGCUAAAUGUGAGGUGGCAUCCUGGAUGGGUUCCUGGAACACGAAAAGGACAUCAGGCUAAAACUAAGGCAACCUGAAUGAACCAUUGAAUUUAGUUAAUAAUAAUGUUUCAAUCUUGGUUUUUUAAUUAUAACAAAUGUACCACACAUAUGAGAUGCUAGUAAUAGGGGAAUUGUGUGUGUGGGAGGGGUGGGUGGGGUAUAGAUGGGAACUCUGUAUUCUCUAUGCAAUUUUUCUGUAAAUCUAAAACUGUUCUCAAAAAGUCUAUUAAUUUUUUAAAAAUUAAGGAAAAUAGGAAAAAGUACACUGAGAUGACAAUAGCAGACAUUUUUGUUCCAUGCAUACAUAAAUAAUUAAGAUGUCAUAUUUAUUUCAAGCUUCUUUAAUACAUAAAUUAUAAAAGUUGAAAAAAAUGUUGCUGCAAUGGAUCAACUAAAAAUAUGGUUGUAAAAAUACUAUAGCAUCUGUGGUGGAUUUAAGAUGGUCACAGAUUCUUUGGCUCUCUGUUUCUUCACCCCCUUGAAUCUGGGCAGAAGUGAUGUGUGCCAGUACAAGGCUUGUCUUUGACAAGACUGGCUGUUUCUGCCUUCUGGAACAUGGCAGCCAUGUUGUGAGGCAGCCCAAGCAGCCACGUAGAGAAGCUCACGAACUUUCUUCAUAUACUGACAGCCCAGUUGAACUUCCAGCCCACAGCUAGCACCAACUUGCCAGCCAUGUGAGUGAAUCAUCGUGGAAAUGAUAUCUGCCAGCCCUGGCCAAAAUGCCCCAGCUGAUGCCACAUAAAGCAAAAAUUAGCAGUUGCCACCAAGCCCUGCCUAAAUUGCAAAAUCGUUGAGAUGUUUCCCAAAAUGCCUCACAAAUAUUCUGGGAUGUCACCUUUUGCAAUGGAUCUGCAGGUUCCAUCGUGCCCUAGCUUUUUGCCUGAGGGGAGGCUCUGGCCAUGGGUCCCUUUUCAGGUCAGCAAGAGUGCCGUGCAGAGCAGGAGCCCCAUCCAAUGCUCUACAGCUCUGGACUCCUGCCAAUCCUCCCUUGGCCAAGGCCUCCAGAAGUCAGAGAGCGAGGGAACAUAUGAACUAUCUAUCCUGGUCUACUGUCAAUCUCCUUCCACUGAAAUAUCAGCUCCACAAGGCUAGUGGUGUCAUGGAUUUGCUCACUGCUGUAGGUGCCUAGUGAAUAUUUGCUGGAAAUGGAAUACAUGGAUAG